RNAcentral lists this ribosomal RNA (547 nucleotides) under uncultured bacterium. RNAcentral describes it as "bacterial SSU rRNA". It matches the Rfam family "Bacterial small subunit ribosomal RNA", at positions 8 to 526 of the family's 1533-position model. The record is from RNAcentral.
AGAGUUUGAUCCUGGCUCAGGACGAACGCUGGCGGCGUGCCUAAUACAUGCAAGUCGUACGCUUCUUUUUCCACCGGAGCUUGCUCCACCGGAAAAAGAAGAGUGGCGAACGGGUGAGUAACACGUGGGUAACCUGCCCAUCAGAAGGGGAUAACACUUGGAAACAGGUGCUAAUACCGUAUAACAAUCGAAACCGCAUGGUUUUGAUUUGAAAGGCGCUUUCGGGUGUCGCUGAUGGAUGGACCCGCGGUGCAUUAGCUAGUUGGUGAGGUAACGGCUCACCAAGGCCACGAUGCAUAGCCGACCUGAGAGGGUGAUCGGCCACAUUGGGACUGAGACACGGCCCAAACUCCUACGGGAGGCAGCAGUAGGGAAUCUUCGGCAAUGGACGAAAGUCUGACCGAGCAACGCCGCGUGAGUGAAGAAGGUUUUCGGAUCGUAAAACUCUGUUGUUAGAGAAGAACAAGGAUGAGAGUAACUGUUCAUCCCUUGACGGUAUCUACCCAGAAAGCCACGGCUAACUACGUGCCAGCAGCCGCGGUAAUAC